GCUUAGAAGCAGCCACUCAUUAAAAGAGUGCGUAAUAGCUCACUGGUCGAGUGACUCUGCGCCGAAAAUUUAACGGGGCUAAACUAUACACCGAAGCUUGGGAUACAUCUAAUGUAUGGUAGGAGAGCGUUCUGUAUGGGGAGAAGUCGUAGCGAAAGCGGCGGUGGACUAUACAGAAGUGAGAAUGCCGGAAUAAGUAGCGAGAAUUAAGUGAGAAUCUUAAUGGCCGAAAGUCUAAGGUUUUUGGAGGAAGGUUCGUCCGCUCCAAGUAAGUCGGGAGCUAAGGUCAGGCCGAAAGGCGUAGCCGAUGCACAUACGGUUGAUAUUCCGUAACCAUCUGUAAUUUAAGCAAAGGGACACUUCAAAAGGGUGUGACCCGGGCGUUGGUUGACCCGGGCGUAAGGGACCGAAAUUAGAGUAGGGAAGCACACUUAGCUGAAGGCGAGAAAAGCUUUGCGUAUAGAAACAGAUGCCCGUACCGCAAACCGACACAGGUGGACAGGAAGAGAAUUCUAAGGCCAGCGGGAGAAGGGUAGUUAAGGAACUCGGCAAAUUGACUCCGUAACUUCGGAAUAAGGAGUGCUCGAAAGAGCCGCAGAGAAUAGGCCCAGGCGACUGUUUAGCAAAAACACAGGUCUCUGCCAAAUCGAAAGAUGAAGUAUAGGGGCUGACACCUGCCCGGUGCCGGAAGGUUAAGAGGAGGAGUGAGAGCUCCGAAUUGAAGCCCCGGUAAACGGCGGCCGUAACUAUAACGGUCCUAAGGUAGCGAAAUUCCUUGUCGGGUAAGUUCCGACCCGCACGAAUGGUGUAACGAUCUGGGCACUGUCUCAACUACCCACCCGGCGAAAUUGUAGUACCGGUGAAGAUGCCGGUUACCUGCGGCAAGACGGAAAGACCCCAUGGAGCUUUACUGUAGCCUGAUAUUGGGUUUCGGAAAUCUAUGUACAGGAUAGGCGGGAGACUUGGAAACAUGAGCGUCAGCUUGUGUGGAGUCGAUGUUGGGAUACCGCCCUUAGGUUUCUGGAAUUCUAACCUGCGGCCGUGAAUCCGGUCGGGGGACAUUGUCAGGUGGGCAGUUUGACUGGGGCGGUCGCCUCCGAAAAAGUAACGGAGGCGCUCAAAGGUUAGCUCAGCACGGACGGAAACCGUGCCUCUGAGUGUAAACGCAAAAGCUAGCCUAACUGCGAGGGUGACGGCCCGAGCAGUAACGAAAGUUGGAGUUAGUGAUCCGGCGGUAUGUGAAUGGAAAUGCCGUCGCUCAACGGAUAAAAGCUACCCUGGGGAUAACAGGCUGAUCUCCCCCAAGAGUCCACAUCGACGGGGAGGUUUGGCACCUCGAUGUCGGCUCAUCACAUCCUGGGGCUGUAUUCGGUCCCAAGGGUUCGGCUGUUCGCCGAUUAAAGUGGUACGCGAGCUGGGUUCAGAACGUCGCGAGACAGUUCGGUCCCUAUCUGUCGUGGGCGCAGGAUAUUUGAGGAGCUCUGUCCUUAGUACGAGAGGACCGGGAUGGACGUACCUCUGGUGCACCAGUUGUCAUGCCAAUGGCACGGCUGGGCAGCUAUGUACGGAACGGAUAAACGCUGAAAGCAUCUAAGCGUGAAGCCGACUCCAAGAUUAGAUAUCCCAUCGUAUAACGAGUAAGACCCCUUGAAGACUACGAGGUUGAUAGGCUGCGUGUGUAAGUGCCGUGAGGCAUUCAGCUUGGCAGUACUAAUAGGUCGAGGGCUUGACCA
Molecule: ribosomal RNA, 1733 nt
Filed under: human gut metagenome
Description: bacterial LSU rRNA
Rfam family: Bacterial large subunit ribosomal RNA
Source: RNAcentral